CAAAAUAUCAUAUAGCUGCAUAUUUCAAUGGGUAUGUUAAUUUCUAUCCUGAAAAUCUCCUGUAAAGAAGAAAAUGAUUCUUGUAGAAUUCUAAAACAAACGUCAUAUCCUGAAGCAAAAUUGGAACGCUUGUUCAGAGUGGACUAUAUCUUUGUUAUACCAUUGUUAAUUUGACCGCUUUGCUUCCUCCGUAGCACCACCAAAUGUUGACCACCUCCUCAUCUGAUGGUUGUGUACAAGUUCACAAGCUGAGCUCAGGGGAGCCCAUUCCUGUUUCAUCCUUGAACGUUCAUAAUAAUGAGGCCUGGAUCACAGUUUCAAUUACUGAGACACCAAUGUUGUCUGCACAGGUUUGAUGUUAACUAAUGGGCUAGAAUAUGAAAAAGUCUUCUUCACCAAUACUCUUCAGUAAAAGCGUCUUAGUCUGUGAUGUUGAGCAAGAGGAUCGGAAAGGCUACAUCCACUCUCGCUCGACUUUCAAAAAGAGUUUGGACAAAGCCCACACUAAAAACUAGUACCAAAAUGGCAGUAUACAACGCCUGCAUAAUCAGCACCUUGCUGUACGGUAGCGAUGUCUGCGCCGCAUCCUAGGCAUUUCAUGGCAGGACAAGGUGCCUAACACAGAAGUCCUGUCUCGGGCGAACCUUCCAAGAAUGUUCACUAUGCUUCGACAGCGCACGUUAUGCUGGCUCCGGCAUGUGCAUCGAAUGGAUGACGGACGUAUUCCCAAGGACAUCUUGUAUGGAGAAUUGAGAACUGGGAAACUAAGCACUGGGCACCCACAACUUCGAUUCAAGGAUGUCGUAAAAAGAGACAUGAAGGCCCUUGAUAUUGACGUGCGAUCUUGGGAAGACCUAGCAGCAGAUCGACCCAGAUGGAGGUCCACACUACUUAGACAGAUCAAGUCAGGGGAAAAAAAGUUUGUGCAUGCAGCAGAAAACGCGGACAACGAAAGCAGCGCUUAACCCCAAAAGAUCAGAAACCAUUUACAUAUGUGACUCUUGCGGAAAAGAACGUCUCUCCCGUAUAGGACUUUUCAGCCACAAACGUUGCUGUCAGAGAAAGACAAAAUAGGAUACAAUAUCCCAUGGUCGUCUGCGACCGAUGGAGGCCUACUAAGUCUGUAAUAACGAUUCAAAUUAAAUUUGUAAUGUAUCGUUUAAUAAUUUCAUCAAUAACGCAAAAGACGUAUUCUUUGCUGUUGUAAGCGGGGCUUGCAUACAUGUACUUAUAUAAAAUGAAAAUAGCGUAAAAAUGUCAAUGUGGUAUAAUAUUUGAUCGUACAAUUGCCAAAAAUCAUUUAAAUACACGAAUAAUUAAUAAAGAAUCAUUCUUUGAGUAUUGUGAGGCAUUAAGGAUGUGGCGUGAUCCAAUCUAUCAUAUAGCCCUUCGAGCCAUAAUUGUGAUUGUGUUAAAUUUUCUACAUAUUAUUUUUGGCAUUUUUUAUUUCAGCUGUAUAAAUUUACUUUUAUCAUUACAAUGAUAAAAUCAUUUAUAUUAAACUGUUAUACGUGUUAUCCCUUAAAAUUAAAAAUACCAAAGGGUCAGUUUUAUAUUUAAUUCUGGUUGUUGAUUGGCUGGGAGAAUUUUCCCGCGGUGCAUAGCAGGUAGUUUUCUUUCGAACUCAGGAGAGUUGGACAUUAUAUGUCUGAGAUAUACAAC
Magallana angulata is the source of this 1662-nucleotide long non-coding RNA. RefSeq lists it as uncharacterized. The record is from RefSeq and is a predicted model, not a curated record. The transcript has 3 exons. NCBI's taxonomy places the organism in Eukaryota, Metazoa, Mollusca, Bivalvia, Ostreida, Ostreidae.